Molecule: ribosomal RNA, 270 nt
Filed under: uncultured archaeon
Lineage: Archaea
Description: partial 16S ribosomal RNA
Rfam family: Archaeal small subunit ribosomal RNA
Source: RNAcentral
CAGCACCUCAAGUGGUCAGGAUGAUUAUUGGGCCUAAAGCAUCCGUAGCCGGCGCUGUAAGUUUUCGGUUAAAUCUGUACGCUCAACGUACAUGCUGCCGGGAAUACUGCAGCGCUAGGGAGUGGGAGAGGUAGACGGUACUCGGUAGGAAGGGGUAAAAUCCUUUGAUCUAUUGAUGACCACCUGUGGCGAAGGCGGUCUACCAGAACACGUCCGACGGUGAGGGAUGAAAGCUGGGGGAGCAAACCGGAUUAGAUACCCGAGUAGUCC